RNAcentral lists this ribosomal RNA (612 nucleotides) under Trichoderma brevicompactum. RNAcentral describes it as "eukaryotic LSU rRNA". The stretch from base 243 to 396 matches the Rfam family "5.8S ribosomal RNA". The record is from RNAcentral. Lineage: Eukaryota; Fungi; Ascomycota; Sordariomycetes; Hypocreales; Hypocreaceae.
UAACAAGGUCUCCGUUGGUGAACCAGCGGAGGGAUCAUUACCGAGUUUACAACUCCCAAACCCCUAUGUGAACGUUACCAAACUGUUGCCUCGGCGGGAUUUCUGCCCCGGGCGCGUCGCAGCCCCGGACCAAGGCGCCCGCCGGAGGACCAAUUUACAAACUCUUUUGUAUAUCCCAUCGCGGAUUCUUUACAUUCUGAGCUUUCUCGGCGCUCCUAGCGAGCGUUUCGAAAAUGAAUCAAAACUUUCAACAACGGAUCUCUUGGUUCUGGCAUCGAUGAAGAACGCAGCGAAAUGCGAUAAGUAAUGUGAAUUGCAGAAUUCAGUGAAUCAUCGAAUCUUUGAACGCACAUUGCGCCCGCCAGUAUUCUGGCGGGCAUGCCUGUCCGAGCGUCAUUUCAACCCUCGAACCCCUCCGGGGGGUCGGCGUUGGGGAUCGGCACUUACCUGCCGGCCCCGAAAUACAGUGGCGGUCUCGCCGCAGCCUCUCCUGCGCAGUAGUUUGCACACUCGCACCGGGAGCGCGGCGCGUCCACGGCCGUAAAACAACCCAAACUUCUGAAAUGUUGACCUCGGAUCAGGUAGGAAUACCCGCUGAACUUAAGCAUAUCA